Molecule: ribosomal RNA, 1154 nt
Filed under: uncultured bacterium
Lineage: Bacteria
Description: bacterial SSU rRNA
Rfam family: Bacterial small subunit ribosomal RNA
Source: RNAcentral
UGAGAUGGACCCGCGUCUGAUUAGCCAGUUGGCAGGGUAACGGCCUACCAAAGCGAGAAUCAGUAGCCGGCCUGAGAGGGUGAACGGCCACAUUGGGACUGAGACACGGCCCAAACUCUUACGGAAGGCAGCAGUGGGGAAUAUUGGGCAAUGGGCGCAAGCCUGACCCAGCAAUGCCGCGUGAAGGAAGAAGGCUUUCGGGUUGUAAACUUCUUUUAAGUGGGACGACAAUGACGGUACCACUCGAAUAAGCUCCGGCUAACUACGUGCCAGCAGCCGCGGUAAUACGUAGGGAGCGAGCGUUAUCCGGAUUUACUGGGUGUAAAGGGCGUGUAGGCGGGACUGCAAGUCAGAUGUGAAAGCACGAGGCUCAACUUCGUGUCUGCAUUUGAAACUGUAGUUCUUGAGUGCUGGAGAGGCUAACGGAACUCCUAGUGUAGCGGUGAAAUGCGUAGAUAUUAGGAAGAACACCAGUGGCGAAGGCGGUUAGCUGGACAGUAACUGACGCUGAGGCGCGAAAGCGUGGGUAGCAAACAGAAAAAGAUACCCUGGUAGUCCACGCAGUAAGCGAUCCCUACUAGGUGUGCGGGGACUGACCCCCUGCGUGCCGCAGCAAACGCAAUAAGUAUCCCACCUGGGGAGUACGAUCGCAAGGUUGAAACUCAAAGGAAUUGACGGGGGCCCGCACAAGCGGUGGAGCAUGUGGUUUAAUUCGAAGCAACGCGAAGAACCUUACCAGGUCUUGACAUCCCGCUGACCGGCUUAGAGAUAGGCUUUCCCUUCGGGGCAGCGGAGACAGGUGGUGCAUGGUUGUCGUCAGCUCGUGUCGUGAGAUGUUGGGUUAAGUCCCGCAACGAGCGCAACCCUUAUUGUUAGUUGCUACGCAAGAGCACUCUAGCGAGACUGCCGUUGACAAAACGGAGGAAGGUGGGGACGACGUCAAAUCAUCAUGCCCCUUAUGACCUGGGCCACACACGUGCUACAAUGGCGUAUAACAAAGGGAAGCAAUACCGCGAGGUGGAGCAAAUCCCGAAAAUACGUCCCAGUUCGGAUUGCAGGCUGCAACUCGCCUGUAUGAAGUUGGAAUCGCUAGUAAUCGCGGAUCAGAAUGCCGCGGUGAAUACGUUCCCGGGCCUUGUACACACCGCCCGUCA